AGGUGUGGAUAGGGGAGAAAUUCCAAUCGAACCCGGAGAUAGCUGGUUCUCCUCGAAAUAGCUUUAGGGCUAGCCUCAUGGAUCAUUGAUGGGGGUAGAGCACUGAAUGUGCGCGGGGGCCACAAAGCCUACCAAACGCUAUCAAACUUCGAAUACCAUACAAUGCAGACCAUGGGAGUCAGUCCGCGAGAGAUAAGUUCCGCGGGCAAAAGGGGAACACCCCAGAUCAACCGCUAAGGUCCCCAAGUUCACGUUAAGUGGAGAAGGAUGUGGAAUUGCACAGACAACCAGGAUGUUGGCUCAGAAGCAGCCACACAUUUAAAGAGUGCGUAAUAGCUCACUGGUCGAGUGAUUGUGCGCCGAAGAUGUCCGGGGCUAAACGUGACACCGAAGCGAUGGGUGCAUCUGAAAGGAUGCGCGGUAGAGGAGCAAUGUGCAGAGGCAGAAGCCGUAUCGAGAGGCACGGUGGACACUGCACAAGAGAGAAUGCCGGUAUGAGUAGCGAGAGGCAUGCGAGAAACAUGCCCGUCGAAAGCCCAAGGUUUCCUGGGGAAGGUUCAUCCGCCCAGGGUAAGUCGGGGCCUAAGCCGAGGACGGAAGUCGUAGGCGAUGGACAGCAGGUGUAGAUUCCUGCACUACCGAUGGAAUGAAGCAGUGACACAGAAGGAUAACUCGAGCAGGGUGAUGGUCAACCCUGUGCAAGCAUCAAGGUUGGGUUGUAGUGAAGUACGCAACCCUAUAAGCUGAGGUGUGAUGCGGACCGAAAUUUCAGUAGGGAAGCGAGUGAGUUCACGCUGGCGAGAAAAGCUGCUAGUACAUCCAAAGGUACCCGUACCGGAAACCGACGCAGGUGGGCGAGGAGAGAAUCCUGAGACGAACGGGAGAACCCUUGUUAAGGAACUCGGCAAAAUGACCCCGUAACUUCGGGAUAAGGGGUGCCUGCGAGAGCAGGCCGCAGAGAAUAGUCACAAGCGACUGUUUAGCAAAAACACAGGUAUCUGCGAAAGCGAGAGCUGACGUAUAGGUGCUGACACCUGCCCGGUGCUGGAAGGUUAAGGGAACAUGUUAGAGCAAUCGAAGCAUCGAACCGAAGCCCCAGUAAACGGCGGCCGUAACUAUAACGGUCCUAAGGUAGCGAAAUUCCUUGUCGGGUAAGUUCCGACCCGC
Molecule: ribosomal RNA, 1167 nt
Filed under: human gut metagenome
Description: bacterial LSU rRNA
Rfam family: Bacterial large subunit ribosomal RNA
Source: RNAcentral